Molecule: ribosomal RNA, 439 nt
Filed under: uncultured bacterium
Lineage: Bacteria
Description: partial 16S ribosomal RNA
Rfam family: Bacterial small subunit ribosomal RNA
Source: RNAcentral
CUACGGGAGGCUGCAGUGAGGAAUAUUGCACAAUGGGGGGAACCCUGAUGCAGCAACGCCGCGUGGAGGAUGAAGAAGUGAGGUGUGUACCCUCCUUUUAUAUGUCAAGAAAAUGACGGUAGCAUAUGAAUAAGCACCGGCUAACUCCGUGCCAGCAGCCGCGGUAAUACGGAGGGUGCAAGCGUUACUCGGAAUCACUGGGCGUAAAGGACGCGUAGGCGGGUUGGAAAGUCAGGUGUGAAAUCCUACAGCUUAACUGUAGAACUGCACUUGAAACUUCUAAUCUAGAGUAUGGGAGGGGGAGAUGGAAUUAGUGGUGUAGGGGUAAAAUCCGUAGAUAUCACUAGGAAUACCUAAAGCGAAGGCGAUCUCCUGGAACAUUACUGACGCUAAGGCGUGAAAGCGUGGGGAGCAAACAGGAUUAGAUACCCUCGUAGUC